This 276-nucleotide ribosomal RNA is filed under the name Triticum aestivum (bread wheat). Its description in RNAcentral is "partial small subunit ribosomal RNA". The record is from RNAcentral. Lineage: Eukaryota; Viridiplantae; Streptophyta; Magnoliopsida; Poales; Poaceae.
AUGCUGCUCUUCAAGCUCGACAUUAAGAAGGCCUUUGACUCCGUUAGGUGGGACUACCUCAUGGACACUCUCAAUCAUCAUGGCUUCCCCACCCGCUUCCGAGGAUGGAUAUCGGCCUUGCUCUCCUCUGCUUCUUCCCGGGUUGUUCUCAAUGGGAUCGCCGGGGACCCGAUUAAGCAUGGUUGUGACCUUCGCCAAGGCGACCCGCUAUCCCCCUUGCUCUUCCUUCUUGCCAUCGACCCGCUGCACCGCAUUUUGAGCAAGGCUACUACGUAG